RNAcentral lists this ribosomal RNA (503 nucleotides) under Psora decipiens. Its description in RNAcentral is "LSU rRNA". It matches the Rfam family "Eukaryotic large subunit ribosomal RNA", at positions 95 to 601 of the family's 3401-position model. The record is from RNAcentral. Lineage: Eukaryota; Fungi; Ascomycota; Lecanoromycetes; Lecanorales; Psoraceae.
GAAGCGGCAACAGCUCAAAUUUGAAAUCUGACCCUUGAGGGUCCGAGUUGUAAUUUGCAGAGGGUGUUUCGGGUACGGUGUCGGUUUAAGUCCUUUGGAACAGGGUGUCAUAGAGGGUGAGAACCCCGUAUGUGACCGGUCGCCAAACCCAUGUGAAACCCCUUCGACGAGUCGAGUUGUUUGGGAAUGCAGCUCAAAAUGGGUGGUAAAUUUCAUCUAAAGCUAAAUAUUGGCCAGAGACCGAUAGCGCACAAGUAGAGUGAUCGAAAGAUGAAAAGCACUUUGGAAAGAGAGUCAAACAGCACGUGAAAUUGUUGAAAGGGAAGCGCUUGCGACCAGACCUGCUCGCGGGUGAUCAGCGGUGCUUUUCGCGCCGUGCACUCGUCCGCGAUCAGGCCAGCAUCGGUUCAGGCGGCCGGAUAAAGACUCGGAGAAUGUAGCUCCCUCCGGGGAGUGUUAUAGCUCCUUGUGCAAUACGGCCAGCCGGGACCGAGGACCGCGCU